UUUUUGGAACGAAAAAACACAGUCUGGUUGGUAGUCCAGGCACUAGGAUGACUCUAUAUUUCAAGAGCGCCGUGUCAGUAGCCUUCCCCCCUCGGGAUGUCCAUCGUUUCCGAUUUAAAU
Molecule: non-coding RNA, 120 nt
Filed under: Paenibacillus sp.
Lineage: Bacteria; Bacillati; Bacillota; Bacilli; Caryophanales; Paenibacillaceae
Also listed under: 1 other name
Description: Azaaromatic sequence
Rfam family: azaaromatic riboswitch aptamer (yjdF RNA)
Source: RNAcentral